This 253-nucleotide ribosomal RNA is filed under the name uncultured bacterium. RNAcentral describes it as "partial 16S ribosomal RNA". It matches the Rfam family "Bacterial small subunit ribosomal RNA", at positions 524 to 776 of the family's 1533-position model. The record is from RNAcentral.
UACGUAGAAGACUAGUGUUAUUCGGAAUUACUGGGCGUAAAGCGCACGUAGGCGGCUUUGUAAGUUAGAGGUGAAAGCCUGGAGCUCAACUCCAGAAUUGCCUUUAAGACUGCAUCGCUUGAAUCCAGGAGAGGUGAGUGGAAUUCCGAGUGUAGAGGUGAAAUUCGUAGAUAUUCGGAAGAACACCAGUGGCGAAGGCGGCUCACUGGACUGGUAUUGACGCUGAGGUGCGAAAGCGUGGGGAGCAAACAGG